GACUACCCCAUCGCCACCCCGCAGACUGGCAACUUAAUGUAAAAGCAGUCAUUACUGCAGUCUUAAACACAGCCCACGAUGGCUCCUGAACCACGUAUUUCUCUUUGUUCUGUAAUUGGAAACAGGAUUCAGGAAAAAAAAAUGAUAUUUUUUUACCACAAGGAGAGAAGAACUCAAAAUGAAGCCAAAUCCAUCGAGGUGCGACUCUUCUCCUAGAUGGGACACCAGUCCAUCACAGACCCCACCAUCAGCAGACUGCAGUCUCUGUUCAAGAAGCUGCGUGGACUGGACUAUUCAGGACAACAGCCGUGUACGGUAUACUACAGUGACUCGAACCCACAGCCCCCCCCCGUGAGGCUGGAGACUUACCCACAAUGCUACACUGUUCUACUCGCUCUCUGACUUGAGGAAAACCUCCCAAUCCUAGCCUUGGUAAUCAACUCCCAAUGGAUGUGUGACUCAACAAGCCAAAAAUCUAAAAAAGGCGCUUGUUACACAACACAUUCAGUAGCGGGAGGAUUUCAUCUUUGACAAAGCCCGCCACUGGAUCUACACUUCCGACAGUUUGUGUUGGAGAAGAAAAAACGGCAAAACAGUCAGACCAAUUUCAGCCUCCUAACUUUUUUUUUAAUUAACUGUGCUUU
Long non-coding RNA from Lepisosteus oculatus (spotted gar), 644 nucleotides. RefSeq lists it as uncharacterized. The record is from RefSeq and is a predicted model, not a curated record. Lineage: Eukaryota; Metazoa; Chordata; Actinopteri; Semionotiformes; Lepisosteidae.